UUGAAGAGCCAAUCCUUAUCCCGAAAUUACGGAUCUGACGGGCCGACUUCCCUUACCUACAUUGUUCUAACAUGCCAGAGGCUGUUCACCUUUGAGACCUGCUGCGGGUUUGGGGAAGGC
Molecule: long non-coding RNA, 120 nt
Organism: Nanorana parkeri
Lineage: Eukaryota; Metazoa; Chordata; Amphibia; Anura; Dicroglossidae
Exons: 4
Source: RefSeq, a predicted model, not a curated record